Molecule: unclassified non-coding RNA, 240 nt
Filed under: soil metagenome
Description: partial contains 5.8S ribosomal RNA, internal transcribed spacer 2, and large subunit ribosomal RNA
Source: RNAcentral
AACAAGGCGUACCUGCGGACCUGCGGAAGGAUCAUUACAGAGUUCGUGCCCUCGCGGGUAGAUCUCCCACCCUUGUGUAUUUUCUACAUUUUGUUGCUUUGGCAGGCCGUUGGUUCGCCAACCACCGGCUCGCGGGCUGGUGCGUGCCUGCCAGAGGACCUCUCAAACUCGGUUUGUUAGUGUCGUCUGAGUACCAUAACAAUCGUUAAAACUUUCAACAACGGAUCUCAGAUCGGAAGA